UACGAGUACCCCAAGCGUUAUCCGGAAUCAUUGGGCGUAAAGGGUGUGUAGGCGGCUGCCUUAGUCUUCUGUCAAAACCUCGGGCUUAACCCGCGGCUUGCAGUGGAAACGGAGCGGCUUGAGGAUGCGAGAGGUGAAUGGAACUCAUGGAGUAGGGGUGAAAUCCGUUGAUAUUAUGGGGAACAUCGAAAGCGAAGGCAAUUCACUGGCGCAGAUCUGACGCUGAAACACGAAAGCGUGGGUAGCGAACGGG
This 253-nucleotide ribosomal RNA is filed under the name uncultured bacterium. RNAcentral describes it as "partial 16S ribosomal RNA". It matches the Rfam family "Bacterial small subunit ribosomal RNA", at positions 524 to 776 of the family's 1533-position model. The record is from RNAcentral.